RNAcentral lists this transfer RNA (76 nucleotides) under Clostridia bacterium. Its description in RNAcentral is "tRNA-Asn". It matches the Rfam family "tRNA". From Rfam's summary of the family: Transfer RNA (tRNA) molecules are approximately 80 nucleotides in length. Their secondary structure includes four short double-helical elements and three loops (D, anti-codon, and T loops). Further hydrogen bonds mediate the characteristic L-shaped molecular structure. tRNAs have two regions of fundamental functional importance: the anti-codon, which is responsible for specific mRNA codon recognition, and the 3' end, to which the tRNAs corresponding amino acid is attached (by aminoacyl-tRNA synthetases). tRNAs cope with the degeneracy of the genetic code in two manners: having more than one tRNA (with a specific anti-codon) for a particular amino acid; and 'wobble' base-pairing, i.e. permitting non-standard base-pairing at the 3rd anti-codon position. Lineage: Bacteria; Bacillati; Bacillota; Clostridia. The record is from RNAcentral.
GCCCUAAUAGCUCAGUCGGUAGAGCAUGCGGCUGUUAACCGCAGUGUCACAGGUUCAAGUCCUGUUUGGGGCGCCA